This 497-nucleotide ribosomal RNA is filed under the name uncultured bacterium. RNAcentral describes it as "partial 16S ribosomal RNA". It matches the Rfam family "Bacterial small subunit ribosomal RNA", at positions 28 to 507 of the family's 1533-position model. The record is from RNAcentral.
GAGGAAAGCGGGGGGCGUGCCUAAUACAUGCAAGUCGAGCGAACAGACGAGGAGCUUGCUCCUCUGACGUUAGCGGCGGACGGGUGAGUAACACGUGGAUAACCUACCUAUAAGACUGGGAUAACUUCGGGAAACCGGAGCUAAUACCGGAUAAUAUAUUGAACCGCAUGGUUCAAUAGUGAAAGACGGUUUUGCUGUCACUUAUAGAUGGAUCCGCGCCGCAUUAGCUAGUUGGUAAGGUAACGGCUUACCAAGGCAACGAUGCGUAGCCGACCUGAGAGGGUGAUCGGCCACACUGGAACUGAGACACGGUCCAGACUCCUACGGGAGGCAGCAGUAGGGAAUCUUCCGCAAUGGGCGAAAGCCUGACGGAGCAACGCCGCGUGAGUGAUGAAGGUCUUCGGAUCGUAAAACUCUGUUAUUAGGGAAGAACAAAUGUGUAAGUAACUAUGCACGUCUUGACGGUACCUAAUCAGAAAGCCACGGCUAACUACGUG